Molecule: ribosomal RNA, 387 nt
Filed under: uncultured bacterium
Lineage: Bacteria
Description: bacterial SSU rRNA
Rfam family: Bacterial small subunit ribosomal RNA
Source: RNAcentral
GAUGAACGCUAGCGGCAGGCCUAAUACAUGCAAGACGAACGGUAAGUUGAGUAGCAAUACUUAGCCAAGAGUGUCGUACGGGUGCGUAACACGUAUGCAACCUACCCUAUACAGGAGGAUAGCCUAGGGAAACCUGGAUUAACCCUUCAUAGUAUUAUUGGAUGGCAUCAUUUGAUAAUUAAAACUGAGGUGGUAUAGGAUGGGCAUGCGUCUGAUUAGUUAGUUGGCGGGGUAAUGGCCCACCAAGACGAUGAUCAGUAGGGGUUCUGAGAGGAAGAUCCCCCACACUGGCACUGAGAUACGGGCCAGACUCCCUACGGGAGGCAGCAGUAGGGAAUAUUGGUCAAUGGAUGCAAGUCUGAACCAGCCAUGCCGCGUGCAGGAAGA